RNAcentral lists this ribosomal RNA (274 nucleotides) under uncultured bacterium. Its description in RNAcentral is "partial 16S ribosomal RNA". It matches the Rfam family "Bacterial small subunit ribosomal RNA", at positions 523 to 796 of the family's 1533-position model. The record is from RNAcentral.
AUACGGAGGGGGUUAGCGUUGUUCGGAAUUACUGGGCGUAAAGCGUACGUAGGCGGAUCAGAAAGUAUAGGGUGAAAUCCCAGGGCUCAACCCUGGAACUGCCUUAUAAACUCCUGGUCUUGAGUUCGAGAGAGGUGAGUGGAAUUCCAAGUGUAGAGGUGAAAUUCGUAGAUAUUUGGAGGAACACCAGUGGCGAAGGCGGCUCACUGGCUCGAUACUGACGCUGAGGUACGAAAGUGUGGGGAGCAAACAGGAUUAGAUACCCCAGUAGUCC